Malaclemys terrapin pileata is the source of this 3426-nucleotide RNA transcript. It is a transcript of the gene named potassium two pore domain channel subfamily K member 13, with no coding region annotated. Lineage: Eukaryota; Metazoa; Chordata; Testudines; Emydidae. The transcript is spliced from 2 exons. The record is from RefSeq and is a predicted model, not a curated record.
UGGGAUUUUACCGGGGCCUUUUAUUUUGUGGGGACUGUGGUUUCAACAAUAGUUAGAGGGACACUGUCAAGUGAAAAAUCACAUUUGUAAAACAAAAAGCAAAUGUCCCUAUGUGUAUUGACAUUAGGCACCUCACAUCUUUGAAUGGGAAGCAGGCUUUACAAUCUCACUGACUUUUCAUCAUUUAUGCUGACUUGUUUUUUGGCAUUUUACUCAACUGGGGCAGUGAAAGUAGUCAACUUAGUUUCAUUUGAGGUCACCAAUUCUGCAAUGACAAAUCCUGUAGAGGAACAUUUACAUCUAAACCAAAAACUUUGUCUUCACUGAUGUUUCUUGAUGGUUAGGUUUUGUAAAUCUUGUUCUAACAAAACCUAAAUUGAGGUUUGGUUUGGUUUGUUUGUUUGUUUUAAGGCCAGGAGGGACCAUUGUGAUCAUCUAGUCUUACAUCCUGUAUAACAUAUCCCAUAUAACACACUUUACAGUAUCCCAUUAACUGUAGAAUAUAGUAUGUGCAUUUGGCUUUACAAAUGUUGACUCUUAAAUCAUGCAAAUCCUUUGCUUUCUGUAGGACAAUCAACAAGUCUGUGUUCUGUACAUCUUGUUUUGUCCCUAUAUUUUUUCAGGGUUGGAGAAGCAGAAGAAAAGCCUGUAGGGAUAUAUGACUACUGAACAGAAAUCACAGGGGGGCUGAUGGUGUUGGACUUAGAGGGACAGCAAGUUUACAUAUAACACAUGAAGGCAAGCAACUGAAUAUUGACAAAAUGUACAAGUGCUUGUAUACAAAUGCUAGAAGUUUAAAUACUAACAUGGGUGAACUAGAGUGUCUGGCAUUAAAUGAGGAUAUUUAUAUACAGGCAUUGCGGAAACUUGGUAGAAUGAGGAUAAUCAAUGCGACAUGGUAACACCAGGUAGGAUGACCAGAUGUCCCAAUUUUACAGGGACAAUCCCGAUAUUUGGGGCUUUUUCUUAUAUAUUACCCCUCCCCCCCAUCAUUUUUCACACUUGCUAUCUGGUCACUCUAACACCAGGAUACAAUAUAUUUAGGAAUGACAGAGUAGGUUGUGCUGCGGGGGAGUGGCAUUCUGUGUGAAAGAAAACAUAAAGUCAAAUACAGUAAAAAUCUUAAAUGAAUCAAACUAUACCAUAGAAGCUCUAGGGAUAGAAUAAUGCUUGAAUAAUAAGAGUAUAGCAGUAAGAAUAUACUAUCGACCACCUGACCAGGGUGGUGACAGUGAAAUGCGCAGGGAAAUUAGAGAGGCUGCAAAAGCAGAAAACACAAUAAUAAUGGGGGAUUUCAACUAUCUCCAUAUUGACUGGGUACAUGUCACCUCAGGACAGUAUACAGAGGUAAAAUUUCUUGUCACCGUUAAUGAUUGCAUCUUGGAACAGCUUGUCCUGGAAUCCACAAGGGGAGAGGCAAUUCUUGAUUUAGUCCUAAGUGAAGCACCGUAUCUGGUCCAAGAGGUGAAUAUAACUGAACCCCUCAUUAACAGGAACCAUAAUGUAAUUAAAUUUAACAUCUUUGUAGGGGGGGAAAUGCCAAACUCACCACAGUAGCAAUUAGCUUAAAAAAGGGGACACCAUAAAAAUGUGGAAGCUAGUUAAGCAAAAGUUAAAAGAAACAGUUACAAGAGUUUAAUGCCUGCAUACGCAAUGGAGAUUAUUUAAAAACACCAUAAUAGAGGUUCAAACUAAAUGUAUAUCGCCAAAGGGGGGAAAAAAAGCAGUAAGAAGACCAAAAUAUGCCACUAUGGCUAAACAACGGAGUAAAAGAGGCGGUUAGAGGCAAAAAGGAAUCCUUUAAAAAUUAGAAGUCAGAUUUUAGUGAGAAAAACAAAAAGGAGCAUAAACGCUGGCAAGUCAAUUGUAAAAGUAUGAUAAGGCAGGUCAGGAAAGUAGUUCUUCAGAUUCUACCUUUAUGCUGUCUGGACUCUGAGGGGCAAAGAUCCCUAAACAUAAGCAAGAGAUCCUCAUGCAGCUUGGCAUGGGUCAGCCCUAAGGGACAUAGAGAGCUGCUUAUAAUAGAAGCUUAUAUUACCUUUUUAAAUCUCAGACUUUAACUCAUUUGUGUGUGUAUGCUUCCUGUUUUAACUUUGUAAAUAACUCCCUUAUUUCCUUUUUUCCGAGUUAAUAAACCUAUAGUUAAUUUAUUACAACCCCCUUCCCCCCCCCGCGCCACAAAAAUUAACAACAAUUUUUUUUUUAACUACAUCAAAAGCUGGAAGCCUGCCAAUCAGUGAGUGGGGCCACUGGACAAUCAAGGUGCUAAAGGAGCACUCAAUGAAGACAAGGCCAUUGUGGAGAAAGCUAAAUUAAUUUCUUGCACCAGGCUUCACUGCAGAGGAUGUGGAGGAGAUCUCCACACCCAAAUCAUUCCUUUUAGGUGACAAAUCUGAGGAGCUGUCCCAGAGUAAGGCAGCAAUAGAGGAGGUUUUUGGAAUAAAUUGACAAAUUAAACAUGAAUAAGUCACCAGGAUAAGAUGGUAUUCACCCAAGCGUUUUGAAGGAACUCAGAUAUGAAAUUACAGAACCACUAAGUGUGGUAUGUAACUUAUCACUUAAAUCAGCCUCUGUACUAGAUUACUGGAGGAUAGCUAAUGUAACUCCUAUUUUUAAAAAAGGGUCCAGAGGCAAUCCUGGCAAUUAGACAAGUAAACCUAACUUGAGUACUAGGCAAUUUGAUUGAAACUAGUAAAGAAUGGCAUUAUCAGACAUAUAGAUAAAUAAUGUACAGUAACUCAUCACUUAAAGUUGUCCCAGUUAAUGUUGUUUCGUUGUUACAUUGCUGAUCAAUUAGGGACCAUGCUCGUUUAAAGUUCUGUAAUGCUCCCUUCUAAUGUCGUUUGGCAGCCGCCUGCUUUAUCUACUGCUUGCAGGAAGAGCAGCCCCUUGCAGCUAGCUGGUGGGGGCUUGGAACCAGGGUGGACCGGCAGCCCCCAUAUCAGCUCCCCCUAAGUUUCCUGUGCAGCAGCAGCUGCCUGCAGUUCAGCUGUGUCCCUCCCCCUACUGCCAUGUGCUGCUCCUGCCCUUUGCCUUGGAGUUGCUCCCCGAGACUCCUGCUUGCUGUGCGGGGGGGAGGGAAGGAAGAGGGGGGCUAAUGUCAGGGUGUCCCCCUGCUCCUGCACCCCGCUUACCCCAUCUUCCAUAGAGCAGGGGGGACACACCAGGGCUCAGGAUGGAGGGAGCUUGCAGCAGCUGCGGCAAGCUGAUCUAAUUAACAAGGCAGUGUACUUAAAGGGGAAUGCACGUCUCCCUCCAUUCCUGCUGCCUUGUAAAGUGAGAGAGUUAACCUUUGAGGGCUCAGCCAAUUGCUAGUUCAUCAUUUAGCAGUAAGGGAAAUAUCCCACCUUCUGACUCCUCCACCUCAACCAAGCUUCACAAUCAUCAUCACUGUGUACCAGUAUUAAAUUGUUUGUUUAAAACUUA